Molecule: ribosomal RNA, 117 nt
Filed under: uncultured bacterium
Lineage: Bacteria
Description: partial 16S ribosomal RNA
Rfam family: Bacterial small subunit ribosomal RNA
Source: RNAcentral
UACGUUCCCGGGCCUUGUACACACCGCCCGUCACACCACGAAAGUGGGUAACACCCGAAGCCGGUGGUCCAACCCUUGUGGAGGGAGCCGUCGAAGGUGGGAUCCGCGAUUGGGGUG